This 726-nucleotide ribosomal RNA is filed under the name Salmonella enterica. RNAcentral's name for it is "partial 23S ribosomal RNA". It matches the Rfam family "Bacterial large subunit ribosomal RNA", at positions 1 to 668 of the family's 2925-position model. Lineage: Bacteria; Pseudomonadati; Pseudomonadota; Gammaproteobacteria; Enterobacterales; Enterobacteriaceae. RNAcentral also lists the same sequence under 1 other name. The record is from RNAcentral.
GGUUAAGCGACUAAGCGUACACGGUGGAUGCCCUGGCAGUCAGAGGCGAUGAAGGACGUGCUAAUCUGCGAUAAGCGCCGGUAAGGUGAUAUGAACCGUUAUAACCGGCGAUUUCCGAAUGGGGAAACCCAGUGUGACUCGUCACACUAUCAUUAACUGAAUCCAUAGGUUAAUGAAGCGAACCGGGGGAACUGAAACAUCUAAGUACCCCGAGGAAAAGAAAUCAACCGAGAUUCCCCCAGUAGCGGCGAGCGAACGGGGAGGAGCCCAGAGCCUGAAUCAGCAUGUGUGUUAGUGGAAGCGUCUGGAAAGGCGCGCGAUACAGGGUGACAGCCCCGUACACAAAAGCGCAUGUGCUGUGAGCUCGAAGAGUAGGGCGGGACACGUGGUAUCCUGUCUGAAUAUGGGGGGACCAUCCUCCAAGGCUAAAUACUCCUGACUGACCGAUAGUGAACCAGUACCGUGAGGGAAAGGCGAAAAGAACCCCGGCGAGGGGAGUGAAAAAGAACCUGAAACCGUGUACGUACAAGCAGUGGGAGCCCCACCACUAAGCCAGUGGUGAACUCCACAUACGCAUCCUUUGCUGAGGAUACGGUUAACGGAGCGCAAGCGACGUUCAACCGCAAAAGAAGCAGAGGGGGCUUAGUGGUGGGGUGACUGCGUACCUUUUGUAUAAUGGGUCAGCGACUUAUAUUCUGUAGCAAGGUUAACCGUAUAGGGGAGCCG